GAAAUAAUGAAUUCUGAAUGUUUACUGAAUAAACUAAUUUAGAAGGUUUGGUUAAUGAAUUAGGGUGUAGAUACCACGUAUUUUCUAAAUCAAAGAGAAAAGUGUUUUGAACCAUCUCCGUAUGGUAGUUUUAUGUUUUCUACGAACUUUGACAAAUUAUCCUAUUAUUUGUUGAUACUUACAUGCUUACUGAGCAUAUUAAGCUCACCUUAUUUAU
This 217-nucleotide long non-coding RNA is filed under the name Carica papaya (papaya). Its description in RNAcentral is "long non-coding RNA (CPAP_LNC001656)". The record is from RNAcentral. Lineage: Eukaryota; Viridiplantae; Streptophyta; Magnoliopsida; Brassicales; Caricaceae.